This 490-nucleotide ribosomal RNA is filed under the name uncultured bacterium. RNAcentral describes it as "partial 16S ribosomal RNA". It matches the Rfam family "Bacterial small subunit ribosomal RNA", at positions 29 to 506 of the family's 1533-position model. The record is from RNAcentral.
GUGAACGCUGGCGGUAGGCCUAACCCCUGCAAGUCGCACGGCAGCACAGUAAGUGCUUGCUCUUACGGGUGGCGAGUGGCGGACGGGUGAGGAAUACAUCGGAAUCUACUUUUUCGUGGGGGAUAACGUAGGGAAACUUACGCUAAUACCGCAUACGACCUACGGGUGAAAGCAGGGGAUCUUCGGACCUUGCGCGAUUGAAUGAGCCGAUGUCGGAUUAGCUAGUUGGCGGGGUAAAGGCCCACCAAGGCGACGAUCCGUAGCUGGUCUGAGAGGAUGAUCAGCCACACUGGAACUGAGACACGGUCCAGACUCCUACGGGAGGCAGCAGUGGGGAAUAUUGGAAAAUGGGCGCAAGCCUGAUCCAGCAAUACCGCGUGGGUGAAGAAGGCCUGCGGGUUGUAAAGCCCUUUUGUUGGGAAAGAAAAGCAGCAGGUUAAGACCCCGCUGUUCGGACGGGACCCAAAGAAUAAGCACCGGCUAACUUCGU